AUUGGUGUUGAUCACUAAAAUAUUCUUCUUUCUUAUAUUUGAUUGAAAUGGAAAAUUCUUUAGUGAUCAACACCAAUUAUAAUUAAUAAUCAUAUAAGAAAAUGGGGAUAAAAUACUAUGCCCCGAAAGGUGCACAAGACAGCAAGAACUGAAAUUAUGUAGCGCAGCAGGAAAAACUAUUCUGCUUUGAUGAAUUUUCUCCAUUCUUGACCAGACUGACUCGGUUUGCAGUCAACUCAGCCUUGUAUAAAUCGGAAUUCAGAAUUUUCUUGCUCACAUCGUUGUAUAUCUCACGGAUCACCACCUCAAAGGCUGCCUGAACAUUAGUAGAAUCAAGGGCUGAUGUCUCCAUGAAGAAUAAACUUUCUUCUUCUGCAAGGCUUUUGCCCUCCUCUACACUCACUUCUCUAAUGUUCUCCAGAUCACGCUUGUUCCCUACAAGCAUUCUUGCUACUGUAGUAUCACAAUGAGUGCUGAGUUCAUCCAGCCACCUUUUGACGCUAUCAAAACUUGUCCUCCUAGUGAUAUCAUAGACAAUUAGUACACCAACAGCACCUCUAUAAUAAGCAGAGGUAACAGCUCUAAACCUCUCUUGGCCAGCAGUGUCCCAGAUCUGUGCCUUGAUUUGUUUGCCAUCAAUAUCCACCACCUGGGUCUGAAACUCUACCCCAAUAGUAGCCUUAGAAUUGUUAUCAAACUCAUUUCUUGCAAACCUGGAUAGUAAAUUAGAUUUUCCCACAGCAGAGUCACCUAUUAGCACAAUCUUGAACAAGUACUCUUCAGCUCCUCCUCCUUCUUGUUCUUGACCCAUUGCAGAGUUCUUGAUGUAACUUCGAUUCCUGUGCGGCCUAAAUCACAUAUUGAUAAUGGGAUUUGCGCGUGAAUGUUCUGUAGGGUUUUAGCUUUGGAGAGGAGGAAAGAAGGC
Molecule: unclassified non-coding RNA, 925 nt
Filed under: Hevea brasiliensis (rubber tree)
Lineage: Eukaryota; Viridiplantae; Streptophyta; Magnoliopsida; Malpighiales; Euphorbiaceae
Source: RNAcentral